AAAUAUAUUCUCCAGAACAUUCCUAGUCCAAGAGAUGUCCCAUGAAAAAUAAGGGAGAAGAGAUCUUGCUGACCCACCCCUUCUCUUUCUUUCUGACCUGAAUGUGGAUAUGUGGUUUGCUUCUGUGGCUGCAAUCAGGUGACAUGAGGCACCAACCAUUGGACCAAGAAGACAACAGCCAAAGACAGAAGAGCAGAAAAAUAAAAGGAAAAGGCCUGUGUUUUGAUAACAUCAAUGAGCAGCAGUACCAGUGCCAAUAGUCACCUGUCUCCAGCCUUCUUGUGAAUGAGAUACUACAGGUCUGUAUUGCUUGAGCCAUUUCUAACUCCAGAAUAUAUUUAGAGUUUCAUACUGAAGUUGAACCACACAUCUUUCUUUGAACUUCCUAACAGGCAAAACAACUGCAUAAAAGAGAUACUCAAUUAGUUAUUAUUUGUCAUUGUCUUUGAGGAGAAAAUUGAUAGUUCUUCAAGAGAGGCACUGUUUCUUGUGAAACUUAGUUCUUUAAGAAAUGUCUUGGGUGGGGCAUCAUAGAGAGACACUGAGUUAUGGUGGAAACUGUAUUUAAAUCAUAUCCCCAAAUUAAAUGCAAAAUUAGUUUUCAUAUGGUUGUUUCUUGUAGGACCUUUUAAUGUAAACUGCAGAUAUAAUACCAAACCCUAACACAGUGAAAACAAUUAUGUAAGAGACUAUUU
Molecule: long non-coding RNA, 695 nt
Filed under: Homo sapiens (human)
Lineage: Eukaryota; Metazoa; Chordata; Mammalia; Primates; Hominidae
Description: HSALNT0163433
Source: RNAcentral